CUGUGUCAGUGAUGAGAAAGUGGAUCUUCUGCGUCAGGCAUGGCGCCCGAGCUCAAUGAGGAUACACUUCCAUGCUGCCUUCCUUCUGAGACGUUG
Synchiropus splendidus (mandarinfish) is the source of this 96-nucleotide small nucleolar RNA. RefSeq annotates it as small nucleolar RNA U83B. The transcript has a single exon. The record is from RefSeq and is a predicted model, not a curated record. NCBI's taxonomy places the organism in Eukaryota, Metazoa, Chordata, Actinopteri, Syngnathiformes, Callionymidae.